This 403-nucleotide long non-coding RNA is filed under the name Capsella rubella. Its description in RNAcentral is "long non-coding RNA (CRUB_LNC001911)". Lineage: Eukaryota; Viridiplantae; Streptophyta; Magnoliopsida; Brassicales; Brassicaceae. The record is from RNAcentral.
UCGACGAUACUAUUAGUACACUACACUAUAUAUCUUUUUCGAUCUUCUUCACCAAAAAAUGAUAAUACUAAAUAAAUAUAUAUGUAUAUACAUUUCCACUUACAAAUUAUUUUACCAAUUCCUUCUAGUGUCUGAUUUUGGAACAAAACAAAAAAAAACACAAAGCUAUAUCUCUCAAAAAAAAAAAAAAACUAUCCGAUUAACAAUAUUCGUAAUUCGAGGUAAAGGAAAGAUGGGUUUAUGAUUUUAUUUGUGUUUUUUUAUUUAUUUAUAGUGGUUGUGUUAUUUAACAAAAUGUCAAUUAUUGUGGUCGUUUUAACCAUAACUUUACUCCGAUUGAAUAAUUUCUUUGAUAAGAAGGUACUACGAUAUGUUUGACCAAAACAAUAUAAUACUAUAUAUA